UCUUGAAGUGGCCGGCUCACCUCAUUCCUGCCAAGACCCAGGUCCGUGUUCUCACAGUGCUGCCAUCUUUCCUCCGUGUGAGCGUGGGCUGUGCGGAGAGUGGACCUCGGUGUGUGCGGGGCUGCGUGCACUGCCAUCGCUCCCUCUACACGAGCCGGCGUGGACCCAGGGCUGAGCUGUGACCACGAGGGCCAUCCCGACGAGCCGCCAUGGACCCAGGGCUGAGCUGUGACCAUGAGGGCUAUCCCGACGAGCUGCCGUGGACCCAGGGCUGAGCCGUGACCAUGAGGGCCAUCCCGAAACUGUGAUUGUUUUCUGAUGAAGAAACCAAGGCUUUGUGACUAACUCAACCCCUCAAGAAGGACAAAACUAGCAUCAGAGCCCCUUGCUCCUGGGUCUGGCAAGAAUGCCUCUUGUUUGCUGAGAGGUCCACAGAUUUACCCGGCUCAAGACUGGGAGAUGGGAGGUGACCAGGGUCUCGGUCUGUCGCCCAGGCUGAGUGCAGUGGUGUGAUCUUGGCUCACUGCAACCUCCACCUCCUGGGCACAAGCAAUCCUCCUGCCUCAGCCUCCUGGAUAGCUCAGACUACAGGGGUGUGCCACCAUACCCAGCUCAUUCUUUUGUAUUUUUAGUAGAGACAGAGUUUUGCCAUGUUGCCCAGGCUGGUCUCAAACUCCUGGGCUCAAGUGAUCCACCCGCCUUGGCCUCCCACAGGGCUGGGAUUACAGGAGUGAACUCCCAUGCCUGGCCCUCAUGAUCCUUUGUAGACUGAGGGACAAAAGAAGAGGGUGAGGCCUCCCCUCUCCUCAGCGCUGAGUGCAAGGACCCUCAAGGCAACUCUUGGCAAAGCCCCAUGUUUCCACUGGCUGUUUAGGUGGAAUUGCGUCCCCCCGCUUCCGUAUGUUGAAGUCCUAAUUUUCGGGCCCUCCGCUUGUGACCAUAUUUGGAAGUAGAGGCUUUGCAGAUGUCAUGAGUUAAGAUGGGGGCCUCCUGGAGCAGGGCAACAUGACUGUAUCCUCAUAAGAAGAGGAGAGACAGAAACAGACACACACAGGGAGAUGCCACGGGACUCCCAAAGCCACAAGAAAGCCUGGAACAGCCCCGCCCUCACAGCCUCUGAAGGAACCAGCCCUGCCUUCACCUGGAUCUGGGACUUCCAGCCUCCAGGACUGGGGGAGAAUGAAACUCUGUUGUUUCGGCCACUCAGGCUGGGGUGCUUUGUUAUGGCAGCUGAGUGGGUGCCUCCCUCUCUGGGGACGGCCAAUCCCUGUAGGGGAGGCAGUGGUCCCGGUCCAGGAAGGUGAGAGAGGCUUUCUCAGUGUCUUCACUUCGCCAGCUCACGUGGAGACUGGUAGCGGCUGGAGCCCAAGCUCUUCUGGGGAGCCGGUUUACUCAAGGUCACCCUUGAUCCAGCGGAGCCCAAGGUCUAGGUCAAGCUUCCUCUGGGAUGUCCCCAAGGCUCUUCAAACAGGUGUCGUCAAGCCAUCUGCCCAAGGGCCCGUCAGCACCUGGCAGGUGUUAGCCAGGCUGAUCUGCAGGCGGGGCUGCCCCGAGUGGGGCUCCCACUGCCCGGGUUGGGACUGGAGCAGCCAAGUGGCUGAGCAACAAGGUGCUUCAUGUGUGGUCCCUGUGAGCCCCCCUGAAUAGUCUCAUGGACAGACGGAUGGACGGGAGGCUCAGUGGGCUCUGGGAGCAAGGGGAGCGCUUGCCGCUCUCCACGUGGCUCCAUUCCAGGACCAGGACAAUGAUGUCUUCCUGUCUGCAGCCAGAAGCAGGGCAGCUGACAGCGGCCCAGCCCUCCUGAGGGACAGGUGUCCGCUCCCAGAAACCUCCCUUCCACCUGCCCCUGGGGUUGAGCUGGAGAGGCUGAGACAUGCUGGGAAGAGGAGGACCAGCCCAGUGGGCGGCCGCCCAACAGCUCGGCGGUGAGAAGAGGCCACGUGUAAGAAGGAAACGCCACCACCCCACUGGAUGGUGGGAGCAGGACUCCAGGGAGGGGGGUCUUGAGUGUAGGCAACCAUGUCGAUUUGGCACAGUGUCUCAACAGGGCAGGGCAAGGGUCUGGGAUUCCAGUUCACGGAUGCCCCAGGUACCAUGGGUGGACAGAGGCCCAGACCCUCUGCAAGACAGCAGUGAUCAUGUCAGACCCUCGCAGCGCUUGAGGGCUGCAGCAGGAGCCCUGAGUCCUCUGUUCUGACCAGGCAGCAGGGAGGACUCGCUGCCCCCAGCUGCACAACGCCUGCCCCGGCCUUGGUCUUGGCCCUCUACCCGGCACCAGCUGGAGCCUCUUGGCCAUUCCUCUGUGCCAUGGGACACUCUCCCACUCCUGCGCUGGCUUCUGCCCACAGUGGCGCCCCUGCUCACCCACUGGCAGUGUCCCCACCUCUCAGAAGAGUUUUUCACAGUGGCAGGCCCUGACCCAGAGUCUCCUGCCUACUUGGUGGCUAAAGGCCCCAGGCGAUCCCCAAAUCCUGCUGUCUCAGGGAGUUUCUCAGAGUCCCACCUCCUCCACAGAACCAGGGGAUUGGCCAAGACUCAAAGCUUCGAAGAACGGAACAUGCAGGUGUGCAGAGACCAUUUAUUACCCCACGGCUGUUAUUGCCUGGGAAGCUGAGUGCCCUGAGACCCCAGCCCCCUGAGGCUCUGACCGGGACAAAUCCCACAGGCACUCCGCCUCAUCCCAACACACCCAAAUCACCAAUCGUGGGCUCUCCCAGUCCUGCCCCAUCUCCCGGAGAGUCUAGUGAGGUGGGGAGGGCACGUGUGUGUACAUGUUUGAGUGUGUGUGCACAUGCACAUAGACGUGUGACAUGGGGCAGCUCGUCCCAGACCCCAAACCAAAGGCUGGCGGGGGCUGGCUGAGAGGUAGUUGUGCCUACUGAGGAAGGGCCACAGGGCGGUGCUCACUAUAAGUCAGAACUGUUCAUUUCUGCUGCAAUGGAACUAGGCAGCCUUGCCAGCCAUCCGGCGGCAGUGCCGGCCCAUGCUGGCGGCCACCUCCCCGAGGCUCUGACUCUUGGAAGGGUAGCCCCGGAGACCUGGCCGUGUCGAAAUGGAACCAUGGCUCUUGUUCUGAUGAAAGCCUUCCCCGGGAGAGGAGUCUCCUCUGAGUGGGCUCCGCGCGGUGGGAUGCCUGGGGGAGUGUCCUCCGGCCCAGUGGCCCCCGCUGGACUUCUUUGGUUCUGAUUGGACGCAGAUGUGGAGGACGCACCAAGUGUGAGGCCAGGCCCCGCCCUCCCAGACUCCUGGCUCCUCUGGGGGCAGGAGGGACGCCAGCUCUCCCGGUGAGGACCAUCCCUCCUACCUGCGCCGACCACGUGCCUCUCAGGGGCCCGGGCAGCAGCCAGACUCCUCAUGCCGCGCCAGGAGGGACAUGCGGGAGAAGGUCUUGGUGCAGCGCCGGCACCGGUACUUCUUGGCGUCUGAGUGCGUUUGCAGAUGGGCCCGAAGGUUGGAGCGGUCGGCAAAGGCCCUGCUGCAGUGCGAGCAGGCAUAGGGCUUCUCCCCUGUGGGAGGAAGGCGGCGGCCAGUGACACCAUGGAAGAUGGAGUGAAGGCUAAAGCACCCACCCUGCCCAUCAAUGGAUACUCCCAUCCCUUCCCCACAAAUGCUCACAGCCAGAGCACCCAAGGUUGAGCUGUGUGGGGACGGGGUGGCACGCCACAUCACCUGAAGCCCCUCCCAGGAGCACAGGCAGCCACAGGUGCUAGAUCUCCUAGUGUUGCUGCAGUAGCCCUCCCGGGGCCCUUGGCCACUGGGAGAGGACGGGAGAAGCACUGGGGGCCUCUGGCAGCUGUUUCUGGCCACUCACAGGCAAGUGGGGGGGUCUGGCCAGCUCCAGCAGAAUCCAGGGCAGGGGCAGAGCUGUGGACCUUGAGGAGGCAGAAUUUAGGAACCACCUCCCAUCAGGACAACAGGGGAUCUGGACAAAGUCCUGCUGGGACCUUGGCCCAACACCUGUAAAGGGAAGUGUGACUGGGAAUCGUUUGUUCAUUCCUGUAGCCCCAUAGAGUCCUGAGAGACCUCAGCCUGCAGCCCCUGAGGGGCCCAGAGCACCUGCAUUCCUGCUGGUGGGACACUGGGCAUGCUCCUGGCCAGGCCAGCCUCCCGCAGGGCCUCCCCACACUCCUCACUCCCAGGCUGAGGGCACCAAGCCCCAGGGCCCUUUGGCACGGAAAGGGGGUGUGUGGGGGGUGUCGUCAUCAAAGAGUUGAGAAAAACCAGAAAGGAUUUCCCAGAGACCUGGAAAAGGCCUUCCCUCUGGCCUGCACCCAGGUGUGACUCAGAGGGUCCCAGUCACAAAAGUCAUGACUUAGGGGGUAGGGAACCUCCAGUUAGAAAAAGUAUGAACUAGCAGGCCGGGCGCAGUGGCUCACACCUGUAAUCCCAGCACUUUGGGAGGCCGAGGCGGGUGGAUCACGAGGUCAGGAGAUCGAGACCAUCCUGGCUAACAUGGUGAAAACCCCAUCUCUACUAA
This 4477-nucleotide long non-coding RNA is filed under the name Homo sapiens (human). RNAcentral describes it as "long non-coding RNA NONHSAT144408.2". Lineage: Eukaryota; Metazoa; Chordata; Mammalia; Primates; Hominidae. The record is from RNAcentral.